This 1970-nucleotide ribosomal RNA is filed under the name Triticum aestivum (bread wheat). Its description in RNAcentral is "partial small subunit ribosomal RNA". The record is from RNAcentral. Lineage: Eukaryota; Viridiplantae; Streptophyta; Magnoliopsida; Poales; Poaceae.
CUUCCUCUCAGUUCUCCUCACCUCGUCACCUACCUUCACUGCCCUUAUCACUUCACUGUCUCCCCACUUCUCCCUGUGGCCACAAGCCCACAACUCUCUCUCUACCUCCUCAGGUCGCCCCUCCUCUUCGUCUCCACAGCCGACGUGAGGUCUCGCACCCCCUCUCCCCACUCUUCUCCGCACUUCCUCGUCGAAUCGGUCUCUGAAGUGCCCGAGGAUCCGCUCGAUCUCGGCAUGUUCGCUGGCUGACCCAGUGCUAGGCGUGGACGAAGGCCGACGCGGAGGCGCGGGACUCGUCUCCACCAGAUCGGCAGCCGUGGCAAUCAUGCAUCCGGAGCUCUGCGGCCCGGCUCCGUGCCUUCCUCUCCGUCUCGCUCGCCCGACGCUUGGAGCGUCUGCUCGUCGUCGGCUCCCACCACCCUAUGCGUGCGGCUGUGCUGUGCCCUGCCCUGCCCAGGUGCGGCAGUAGUGCCGCGGUGGCUGGUCCCCUGCAACUGCAAGCCGGCGCCGGUUGAUGAUCUAUUCCCCACUCCAGCUUUCAUAUAUUCUUAGUUCUGAUUUGAGGCAUACAAGGAAUGGAUAUUGAAGACCAUGGAAGAGUCGUCGAAUUUGUUCCAUCAUAAAUUUUUGGAACUCUGGAUAAACAGAAAGAUGUGAAUGGGGAGGCAUACCUGCCUGCCAUAUACAUCAACCCGAAGCUUUUGAGCGUUGUACAGAAGAAGUACUUGACAGUUUUACUUCAUGAUAGUCUUGGAUUUUGUUCGGUCAGAAUGAUCAGAUUGGCAAGGCUUUCGGGUGAGGUCAGUUACAUACUGAAGAGCAUGCACCUGUGUUGGCGACGAGCUCGUCAGCGCGGCCGUGGACGGGCGCCUGUCUAUAAGUCUAUGAGGAGUUUGAUAUUUACAGAGAAAGUCGACCCCUAAAAAUGAAGUUCUUCAACUGAAGACUUUGAUAUUCUGAAGACUUUCUGAAGACUUUGAAAGUGAAGAAAUUGGUGUGACCUUGAAGACUUGGUAUUCAUUUGUGGAACAUGAAGUGUGAAGACUAUUGUUUUCGUAGUUUCGUUUUCUCUUUCUUGAGUCAUAGGAAACACCGUACUGUUAAAGGGGGUCGAGGAAAUACUAAGGAAAAAUUUCCAUGUGAUGCUCAACUCAAAAUCCUACACCUACCAAUCCCUUCGAGUGAAGCCUUUGGAAAUCUCAUACAGUUCAGUCACUUUCUUCAGUGACAGAGACGAAGUUCUUCUGGUCACUGAUGAAUUUGUUCUGACUGAGGAGUUAGGAAUUCGCCAGUACGAAUUACCUACACAGUGAGGAACAUGAUAGCCUUGAGGAAUUUGAGAGUCAAAUUUCCGACCGUUGCUGUGCUGCGCGCCAGCUGUCUCAAAAUAUCUUAUCCACCUAACGGUCAUAUCAUUGAGGGGCAUUUAUGUCUUAUCAUGUCGGGCUGCUCCCUAGGCUAUAAAUAGCCGCCCCCUACAACCACUAGCUGGUUGGCUGCUCCGAGAGAACUUGACACUUGUCAUUUGAGAGCAACCCAUCCUCCGAGGACUUUGAGCGAAAAUCAUCAAGUGAGGAAAACCCAAAACCAAACCCCUACAAACCCAAAGUGAUUGAGCAUCACUGAAGAAAUUGAUCCUGCGUGGAUCCGACGCUUGUUACCUUUGAAGACUGUGCUUCUUCCAGACGGUUAGGCGUCAAGGUCUAGAGCAUCCAAGAGGAAUUGUGGAUCGCCGAGUGACCAAGUCUGUGAAGGUUUGGAAGUCGCCUAAAGACUUACCAUGAGUGAUUGGACGAGGUCUGCGUGACCUUAGUUCAAGGAGAAUACGGUGAGGACUGGGUGUCCUGAGCUGCGUGCUCAGCGACUGGGUGUCCGGGACUGUGUGUCCUUGAGUUUAAAUACUCAGCCGCUCCAACCAGACGUACAACUGAGACAGCAGUUGGAACUGGUCUACCAAAUUAUUAUCUUCA